This is a long non-coding RNA of Rhopilema esculentum, 892 nucleotides long. RefSeq lists it as uncharacterized. The record is from RefSeq and is a predicted model, not a curated record. NCBI's taxonomy places the organism in Eukaryota, Metazoa, Cnidaria, Scyphozoa, Rhizostomeae, Rhizostomatidae.
AAAAGCGGUCGAUAGCAAUUGCAAGCAGUGUAAACGCAGCCGAAUUGAAUGCAGCCGUUGCCGCUGGCAUCAAUAUCUUGCAACCAGCUUUCCCAAAGGGGUAAGAAUAUGAUUCCUCGACGCCAAUUGUGAAUGGUAUCCCCAGAAGCACAGUCGCAACGUCGCAUAGCGCCAAGUUCAGCACAAAAAGGUUGGCUGUUGUUCGAAGAUGCUCGAAGCGAAGGAGUAUUGUUAUCAAUACAGCGUUACUGGUCACGCUCGCAAAACAAAUUAGAACGUAGAAUGUAAUCUUGACAAUGUGGAAGGUCAUCCUUGAUCUUUGGUGCUUUACCUCGAAGGGGAUUUCAAAGACUCUCAUCGGCAAAGAAAUGAAAGGAAGACUAUUGAGAGAAAUCUUAGGUAAAAACUCCAGAAAUCAACUUCAAACUUGUGGUCACCAAGUUAAUAGAAAAUUUGAAAGAGCCAAAUGAUAUUUGUAAAGGACAAGCAAUGAAAAACCAGAAGGUGAGAAACAAAACACUGUGUUUAGCAUGUACCAGCUGAGAUAUUGUAAAUAAAUUUAUCACUUAGGAAUGCUCAUCUGCACAAUUCAGAGGGAACUAAAACUACAAGUUAGUUAAAACUAUAUUGAUUGGCAAAUGAUUGUAGUGUUUCCGGAGCUAGAAUGGACAAUUAAAAACAAGGACUUGGUUAAGCAAUGCCAUAAAACUGUCAAACUACCACACAUAUUGACAUUGUGAUGUUGCACAAGGCUACUCAAUAUUAACAAAUACUGCCACAAUGUGGUUGACAUCAUUACCUCCUUAGCACUAUUUGUACCUGUUUAGGACACUGGUACAAAAAUUAUCUUGUGCUAUUCAUUUUGUUAACAUUUUUCUGGUUAGUUAUUUUC